AGUGAACGCUGGCGGUAGGCCUAACACAUGCAAGUCGAACGGCAGCACAGUAAGAGCUUGCUCUUACGGGUGGCGAGUGGCGGACGGGUGAGGAAUACAUCGGAAUCUACUUUUUCGUGGGUGAUAACGUAGGGGAACUUACGCUAAUACCGCAUACGACCUACGGGUGAAAGCAGGGGAUCUUCGGACCUUGCGCGAUUGAAUGAGCCGAUGUCGGAUUAGCUAGUUGGCGGGGUAAAGGCCCACCAAGGCGACGAUCCGUAGCUGGUCUGAGAGGAUGAUCAGCCACACUGGAACUGAGACACGGUCCAGACUCCUACGGGAGGCAGCAGUGGGGAAUAUUGGACAAUGGGCGCAAGCCUGAUCCAGCAAUACCGCGUGGGUGAAGAAGGCCUUCGGGUUGUAAAGCCCUGUUGUUGGGAAAGAAAAGCAGCAGGUUAAUACCCCGCUGUUCUGACGGUACCCAAAGAAUAAGCACCGGCUAACUUCGUG
RNAcentral lists this ribosomal RNA (492 nucleotides) under uncultured bacterium. RNAcentral describes it as "partial 16S ribosomal RNA". It matches the Rfam family "Bacterial small subunit ribosomal RNA", at positions 29 to 507 of the family's 1533-position model. The record is from RNAcentral.